RNAcentral lists this ribosomal RNA (491 nucleotides) under uncultured bacterium. RNAcentral describes it as "partial 16S ribosomal RNA". It matches the Rfam family "Bacterial small subunit ribosomal RNA", at positions 29 to 506 of the family's 1533-position model. The record is from RNAcentral.
AGUGAACGCUGGCGGUAGGCCUAACACAUGCAAGUCGAACGGCAGCACAGUAAGAGCUUGCUCUUACGGGUGGCGAGUGGCGGACGGGUGAGGAAUACAUCGGAAUCUACUUUUUCGUGGGGGAUAACGUAGGGAAACUUACGCUAAUACCGCAUACGACCUACGGGUGAAAGCAGGGGAUCUUCGGACCUUGCGCGAUUGAAUGAGCCGAUGUCGGAUUAGCUAGUUGGCGGGGUAAAGGCCCACCAAGGCGACGAUCCGUAGCUGGUCUGAGAGGAUGAUCAGCCACACUGGAACUGAGAUACGGUCCAGACUCCUACGGGAGGCAGCAGUGGGGAAUAUUGGACAAUGGGCGCAAGCCUGAUCCAGCCAUACCGCGUGGGUGAAGAAGGCCUUCGGGUUGUAAAGCCCUUUUGUUGGGAAAGAAAAGCAGCAGGUUAAUACCCCGCUGUUCUGACGGUACCCAAAGAAUAAGCACCGGCUAACUUCGU